Molecule: long non-coding RNA, 2832 nt
Filed under: Spirodela polyrhiza (greater duckweed)
Lineage: Eukaryota; Viridiplantae; Streptophyta; Magnoliopsida; Alismatales; Araceae
Description: long non-coding RNA (SPOL_LNC000158)
Source: RNAcentral
AAAGAGAUGUUGGGAAUCAAUCUUGCCCCUCCUCUCACUUGCUAGAGAAGGAAAUCCCCAUUUCCUUCAUAUGGAAACUAUGGAUUCCCGUUCUGCAGGUUCAACUAAUGUUUUCUUCUUGUUUGUUCUUUCCCGUUGUACGGGUAGACCGUCGUCUACCAACUUGGUCCGGCGUCGAGUGCCGUAAGGCUGACAGAAGAGAGUGAGCACCCACCGGCGACUGCAUCAAGGCUAUGCCGUCGUCACGGCGCGUGCUCACUUCUCUUUCUGUCAGCUCCUGGUAGUGUUGCACUGGCAAAAAGCAGUCCUGGAUGGGAGAACCCUGCAGCCUGCGGUUGGAAUCCCCCCCUCCUCUCUGGUAAGUUAUCAUCUCGCUUCUCUUUCUCUCUCUAUCAUCGGUCGAUCUACUCAUCUCUCAAUGUUUUUGGGAAUUACUCUCCCUCUCUCUCUUGGUGUAUAUCAGCUAUCUACUAAUCACUUAUGGCCCGGUUUUCGGCGGAAGGGGAUCUGGAUAUUGGUUGCGUGGAUUUACAUUAUUCAGUCUUGUUUCGUUGGAAUUAUCACCAACCGGUCCACUUUCCUAUUUAGCGGUCCAAGAAAACCUGCCCAACGGUGAGUAAUGGUAGUUGUGGAAGCUCGAGAGCGUGAUUUUCAAUGGCGCUCCGCAGUUUCCCUUGGAAGAAGAGCACCUGGUUAAGCCGUGCAAAACUAACUAAAGUUAACCGUUUGACUUCUAACCCUUGUCAGCAUCUCCCCUUCUUCCUACAUCUUCGUUGUCUCUUCAUUACAUCUGAUUGAAUCUCUUUCUUCUUCCUGCUCUCUCUUCUUCAGUUCUUCACCAUAAGAUGCCUCUUUAUCCCCUGCUGCAUCUGUCUAUUUUCCGGGUCUGUAUUCAUUUGGGUGGGUCAGCUUUCCCGAUGCGUUUUCUUCUUCUCUUUCUUUCUUUCUUUGUCUCCUCAUUUGAUCUCUCCUGUUUGCUUCAUCCGUCUGAUCUUUCCGGUUUCCUCGGCUUUUUAGCUAGUGGCGGUGAUUUGGAAGCUAUUCUUCUUUCCUGGUGCUUGAUAUUGCAUGUUCUGUCUUGAAAAUUCUUCUGUCGGACGUAGAAGUUAGGUCGCUCUAGCCUCCCAAUCAUUUACCUCACUGCUGCAGGUAGCAUCAAUGGGCAGGACAGUUUGGUGAAUCGGUCUCUGGUAAUCAGAAAUAUACUGUUCGGAAUUGUCGAUACUCCCUUAUGUUGUACAGGACAAAUUGAAAGAUUCCCUAGAUGGGCCAUGUAUCGUCAGUAGAGAGAGGAGUCUUUCCUCCAUCAUGAUCAUCAAUACUUUUCCGGAAGAUUGGUCAUAAUUUUGGUGAACGGAAAGCCACUUGGGCAGCCUGUAGAGAGACCUCCCGGUUUCCGGGAAGAAGUUGUAUGACCCGGACUCGUUUAUCGGCUGAGAGAUCCUCAUGCGAUUGUCAGGAAGUUGGAACCCCGCAGAAUUUAUAAUAGGAGAUUAACUUGACAGGAUGAUGCCCAUAGCUGUGGCCUGUGGGAGUAUCCCAUGGGCGAGUUGAUACCAAGUAUAACCCACUUCGCCCUCAAACGAUGUAGAAACUUUGUGAGAGUGCAUGUAAAGUCUUCAUUUCAGUAUGACUACAACUUUUCAGUCAACACAAUAAUUUAAUGACGGCAUCAAUCAUUGGGAAGUUCAAUCAUCCGCACACAAAGAUUUGCUGAGAAGUAACUGACCGUCAUGGAGACAUUUUACUAGGUACAAGAGUUUUAAUCAUGCCGUCGCCUUGUUAUCAAUAAAAACAAAUAAUCCGAUCCAUUACAAAGACAGAUUGAGCUCCAGAAUGACCGCUUGAAUAGGUGGUGUAGGUGGCUAAAGUUCGUUCUAUAAUUUAUCUUGGUGGGAAAAAAACUAAGAGAAUUCCAUUACCCUAAGCUUUCAUGGACUGUCAACUAAAUAUUUAGUUCUCUUUUACUGCAUAGAAGUCUUGCGCUGAGGUUUCUAUCUUUGAACAACAUCAACACACCAUGUUCCUGGAUUUCCGUUGUAUCCGGUUCAUGAGGACUAGGUUAUAUGGUACGUCAAUAAGCCAUAUACUAGAUGUUAUGGAAGUAACAACUCACAUUCCUUCCUGAUGAACCAUAUCUUUCUCACUAAUACAUCAUUUAUUUCUACGGUGUUCAUUUAUGAUUCUGUUUUUUCUCUGGUGUACAUAGAGCUAAUUAUGGUAUAAACACGUGACAAAGGGUUUUAUUGAUUGAAAAAAUGGGUCGUAAAAUUUUAGUAAACAUUUUUUUGUGGAUAUCUUUAAUCGAUGUAAAGCUACCCUUAAGCAACUAUGCAGGGAGAAAGAAGAUCCUAGAAUCUUAUAUCUUGUGGAAGAAUACAUAAACAAUUAACAAUAAAGGGAUGUAGGAGACUUACAUCUGUGUUUUUACUCGCACCAAAUGAAUCAAGUAAUAUGCAUCAGCUAUAACUAGGCUCGAUGUUUAACUAGACUCCAAUCCCAAUUCUGUUUCUAGCAUGUCUAAGAAGGACUAUCCUUUUACUUCUUGUUGUCAAUGAAGUCGUUGACAAGGAUUUCCAGUUCUAUGAUCAUCAUGGUAUUCGCUCACAGAACUCAUUCAAGAAUUAGCCUUUUAUUCUGUUUCUUUUUCUAAUGCCCUUGACAUUGAUAGCUGUUGAACUAUAUAGAAUCAUUAAUUAACCACUUUUUAUGAAUUUUUAUGUUUUUGGAGGACUUCGACGCUUAUUGCAGACCUCAACCUUACUCUGGGCCACUGUUUGAUUUAUUCAUUUGCCACCGACACGAGCUGUUUGACUAACUCACGUGCACCAG